AUGGCGAUUCUCAUGUUCUCUGGAUUCUGUGCCUCUGCCAGCGUGACGAUUUUCUUCAUGAAGGAUAUGAACUUCUGCACGGAAUACCGGCGUCUAGACUGCAGUCAGUUCACACUUUCAGUCACUCUGGCGUUCUUUACAUGGUUGUUGCAAGCUGCGUCUUCUUUCUCCGGGUUCUGGCUACUGGUUUCCUUCUUCUAG
RNAcentral lists this ribosomal RNA (201 nucleotides) under Triticum aestivum (bread wheat). RNAcentral describes it as "partial small subunit ribosomal RNA". Lineage: Eukaryota; Viridiplantae; Streptophyta; Magnoliopsida; Poales; Poaceae. The record is from RNAcentral.